RNAcentral lists this ribosomal RNA (1058 nucleotides) under Salmonella enterica subsp. enterica serovar Enteritidis. RNAcentral describes it as "partial 23S ribosomal RNA". It matches the Rfam family "Bacterial large subunit ribosomal RNA", at positions 129 to 1230 of the family's 2925-position model. The record is from RNAcentral. Lineage: Bacteria; Pseudomonadati; Pseudomonadota; Gammaproteobacteria; Enterobacterales; Enterobacteriaceae.
CAGUGUGACUCGUCACACUAUCAUUAACUGAAUCCAUAGGUUAAUGAGGCGAACCGGGGGAACUGAAACAUCUAAGUACCCCGAGGAAAAGAAAUCAACCGAGAUUCCCCCAGUAGCGGCGAGCGAACGGGGAGGAGCCCAGAGCCUGAAUCAGCAUGUGUGUUAGUGGAAGCGUCUGGAAAGGCGCGCGAUACAGGGUGACAGCCCCGUACACAAAAGCGCAUGUGCUGUGAGCUCGAUGAGUAGGGCGGGACACGUGGUAUCCUGUCUGAAUAUGGGGGGACCAUCCUCCAAGGCUAAAUACUCCUGACUGACCGAUAGUGAACCAGUACCGUGAGGGAAAGGCGAAAAGAACCCCGGCGAGGGGAGUGAAAAAGAACCUGAAACCGUGUACGUACAAGCAGUGGGAGCACCCUUUGGGUGUGACUGCGUACCUUUUGUAUAAUGGGUCAGCGACUUAUAUUCUGUAGCAAGGUUAACCGAAUAGGGGAGCCGGAGGGAAACCGAGUCUUAACCGGGCGUUAAGUUGCAGGGUAUAGACCCGAAACCCGGUGAUCUAGCCAUGGGCAGGUUGAAGGUUGGGUAACACUAACUGGAGGACCGAACCGACUAAUGUUGAAAAAUUAGCGGAUGACCUGUGGCUGGGGGUGAAAGGCCAAUCAAACCGGGAGAUAGCUGGUUCUCCCCGAAAGCUAUUUAGGUAGCGCCUCGUGAAUUCAUCUCCGGGGGUAGAGCACUGUUUCGGCUAGGGGGCCAUCCCGGCUUACCAACCCGAUGCAAACUGCGAAUACCGGAGAAUGUUAUCACGGGAGACACACGGCGGGUGCUAACGUCCGUCGUGAAGAGGGAAACAACCCAGACCGCCAGCUAAGGUCCCAAAGUCAUGGUUAAGUGGGAAACGAUGUGGGAAGGCCCAGACAGCCAGGAUGUUGGCUUAGAAGCAGCCAUCAUUUAAAGAAAGCGUAAUAGCUCACUGGUCGAGUCGGCCUGCGCGGAAGAUGUAACGGGGCUAAACCAUGCACCGAAGCUGCGGCAGCGACACUGUGUGUUGUUGGGUA